Long non-coding RNA from Arachis duranensis, 1000 nucleotides. RefSeq lists it as uncharacterized. NCBI's taxonomy places the organism in Eukaryota, Viridiplantae, Streptophyta, Magnoliopsida, Fabales, Fabaceae. The record is from RefSeq and is a predicted model, not a curated record. The transcript has 3 exons.
CAAUUUUAUUAAAAUAUCUAUUCAUAUCUAUCCAUAUUCUUUUAUAAAAUUUUAAUUUCUAACCCUAAUUCCCAAAAUUAACUCAGAACCCUAAUUUCCCCAGUUCCUAACCCUAACAGCCGCAGCCUCACCCUCCUUCAUAACAAAUGCAUACAAAUUGAAGAAAGGGGAAAACAGGGAGAAAGAGGGAAGAGAAGGGAGACGGCGCUGGCUGGGGCCUCGCCGCCGUCACCGUCGCUGUCAAGCGUGAAGGGUGGAGAGGAGAGAGCUUGCAUCCAAGAGAGAAGAGAUGCUGUCUGCCGUCACCGUCGCCGCCCUGGAGCUUGCCGUCGAGCUGCUUCACGGCGCCGUCCCGUCCAUGGACCCACAAGCUUGCGUUACUGCCGAUCCGUUCACAAGCCGUCGUCGAUGGGACAUAAUCGCGAAGAGAGAGAGACACACGAAGAGAAGCCCACGACCAGCCUUGUCGCCGUCAGCGCCGCGGGUUGCCGUCGCCAUCCUCGCGAGCUGCCACCGCAUCGCCGUUACUGAGCUGCAGCACCGCCGUUGUCGCACUCUGCUGCUGCCGCGUCUCGCCAAGCCGCCGCUGGAGGAGGAAGGCCCGCCAGUUUUGUUUCUGCUUAUGGGUUUUGGAAUCUGAGAAAACGCCACUGCCGUUGUUGUUUGUUGGGUUCAAGAUCAUUGCUGCCACUGGAAUCACGAACCGGAAAGGAGAGGAGGCCGUUUUCUGUUGUCGCUGGUGCUGCCAUAGGACGGUUGAAGCCAUUGCUGAUUAUGAUUUUGUUAUCUGGGGCUGAAAAUUGCUUUUGAUUCCUACUCAAUUUAAAUCCUCUAUUUUACUGCAACCAUGGUCAAAGUUGCGAAGGCUGGUAUUGUUGCCGUUCUGGUUGUGUGAGAGUUACCGCUGCUGCCCUGACACUAAAAGAGAAGUUGCUCAAUGUUCCAAAUCCUGCUGUUCUUGACAUUCCUGUUUGUGCAUUGGGGGGUGGAUAUUGGAAUC